Molecule: small RNA, 286 nt
Filed under: Mus caroli (Ryukyu mouse)
Lineage: Eukaryota; Metazoa; Chordata; Mammalia; Rodentia; Muridae
Description: sRNA (MGP_CAROLIEiJ_G0008618.1)
Rfam family: 7SK RNA
About the family: 7SK was discovered as an abundant small nuclear RNA in the mid-70s but a possible function has only recently been suggested.
Source: RNAcentral
UGAUCUGGAUUUGAGAUCUAUCACCCCAUUGAACAGGAUUGAUUUGGUUGAUCUCACUUCCCUUUCACACCACUCCAUGCAGAAACUCUAAGCUGCAUACUCACGGAAAGAGGAUGAGAUUUCUAAAAUAGAGAAGUUGCUGCUAGGGUUUAGCUCUAGUUGAGAUCUCCUCCUAGAGCCUCCAAACACACCUCAAGAACAAUGUUUUCUUAAAGACAUGCAAAAGAAAUAGAACAAGGUGGCCACACCCUUGCAGAAUCUUUAUAUGUAGCUGUUUAAAUAGUGU